RNAcentral lists this ribosomal RNA (376 nucleotides) under uncultured Serratia sp. Its description in RNAcentral is "bacterial SSU rRNA". It matches the Rfam family "Bacterial small subunit ribosomal RNA", at positions 521 to 896 of the family's 1533-position model. The record is from RNAcentral. Lineage: Bacteria; Pseudomonadati; Pseudomonadota; Gammaproteobacteria; Enterobacterales; Yersiniaceae.
UAAUACGGAGGGUGCAAGCGUUAAUCGGAAUUACUGGGCGUAAAGCGCACGCAGGCGGUUUGUUAAGUCAGAUGUGAAAUCCCCGGGCUCAACCUGGGAACUGCAUUUGAAACUGGCAAGCUAGAGUCUCGUAGAGGGGGGUAGAAUUCCAGGUGUAGCGGUGAAAUACGUAGAGAUCUGGAGGAAUACCGGUGGCGAAGGCGGCCCCCUGGACGAAGACUGACGCUCAGGUGCGAAAGCGUGGGGAGCAAACAGGAUUAGAUACCCUGGUAGUCCACGCUGUAAACGAUGUCGAUUUGGAGGUUGUGCCCUUGAGGCGUGGCUUCCGGAGCUAACGCGUUAAAUCGACCGCCUGGGGAGUACGGCCGCAAGGUUA